CUCGUAGGCGGUUCGUCGCGUCCGGUGUGAAAGUCCAUCGCUUAACGGUGGAUCCGCGCCGGGUACGGGCGGGCUUGAGUGCGGUAGGGGAGACUGGAAUUCCCGGUGUAACGGUGGAAUGUGUAGAUAUCAGGAAGAACACCGAUGGCGAAGGCAGCCAACUGGGGACUAACUGACGCUGAGGCUCGAAGGCGCGGGUAGCAAACA
RNAcentral lists this ribosomal RNA (207 nucleotides) under uncultured bacterium. Its description in RNAcentral is "partial 16S ribosomal RNA". It matches the Rfam family "Bacterial small subunit ribosomal RNA", at positions 568 to 774 of the family's 1533-position model. The record is from RNAcentral.